AGCCUUAGGUAAAUGUCUAAGGUUUGACCUGCCCAAUGUGCAAAGAUUAAUUUAAUAUGAAUGGCCGCGGUACUUUGACCGUGCUAAGGUAGCGUAAUCAAUUGGCUUUUAAUUGGGGUCAGGAAUGAAUGGAGUCACGGGGUUUUACUGUCUCUUAACUAAUAAUUUGAAGUUACUAUGUAAGUGAAAAAGCUUUCUUGAAGAAAAAGGACGAGAAGACCCUUAGAGUUUUAUUAAAGUAUAAGUUAUUACUUAUAUCGAUUUAGUUGGGGCAACUUGGGAUAGCAGAAAUUUAAUAAUCUCUCAAAUGUUACGUAUCGAUUCUAUUAAAUUUGUAUAAACUACCUUAGGGAUAACAGCAUAAUUUUACAUUAAAGUUUGUGACCUCGAUGUUGGACUAGGAUACUAAAAGGCUAGCCGUCUUUUAGGAAAGUUCUGUUCGAACUGUGAUUCCU
Molecule: ribosomal RNA, 455 nt
Filed under: Verconia laboutei
Lineage: Eukaryota; Metazoa; Mollusca; Gastropoda; Nudibranchia; Chromodorididae
Description: Noumea laboutei partial 16S ribosomal RNA
Rfam family: Bacterial large subunit ribosomal RNA
Source: RNAcentral